Long non-coding RNA from Lolium perenne, 2995 nucleotides. RefSeq lists it as uncharacterized. The record is from RefSeq and is a predicted model, not a curated record. NCBI's taxonomy places the organism in Eukaryota, Viridiplantae, Streptophyta, Magnoliopsida, Poales, Poaceae.
CGGCGGAGAUACCCUCCGUGGUGCGGUGCUCGAGCGUGCAAGAUCGGCAUCUAUGGCAUUUCUGUCCCUCCACCCCCACCGUUCUGCCCCAUGUCCAAGCUCCUCCCCUUGAUGCGGUGGUUGAGUGGAGGCGGCGAACGGCGGGAGCCCUCGCCAACCUCUUUGAUGCUGCUAUUGUGGUGUCUGCGGCAGGUGGCCGGCGAUGUCCCGUCGAAGAGGUCGAACAGACUGUUGCCAUGGCGCAACGCAACGGCAAGCCGUGCCAGCCACGUCGUGGCCCUGAGCGGCCGCUGAAGCCGGCGGAGGACCCGACGGUGCCCGCCGACAGAGAUCAUCUCGAAUUGCUGGCGAUCUAGGGGAAGCCGUCAAGAUGAACCGUGAGUCCGUGACACCACGCUCUUCUCCAUCUGUAUCCGCCGUGUCUCCGCCCAUGUCCUCACCUCUGACUGCUCCCCUGCUCUCCCCCACGCCCCCUCCUCUUGGCGACAAGUUGUGCCACUCCUCGACGGCUCAGUUAGCAAGCCCAUCAAAGCCGUCGACAAGGGCCUAGCCGCCGACAAGGGGAGGUCCUGACUCCUGAGCAUCGGGAGCACCUGCGCGGGGGUGCAGUUCGUAGGCGGCAACGUCGAGCUGCGUGGUGGCUCCUUAGCCGCCGUGGGGAUGCGCCGCGACGCGCGGCCACGCUGCCGAGAUGGAGGCCUCGUGCGCCGCCGUGCCGGUGCGGAUGCUCGCGAGCAGCCGGGGGCUGCUGGAUCGGAUCAGGGUCAACUUCAACGCUGCUGAGCUCCGGCUGCCGGCGCACCCACGUCUCUCCGGAUUACUGUGCUCGCUCGCUCGAACAGUCUUGGCACGACCAGAUGCACUCAGGCACACACAGCGGUGCGGUAGCCCUAGCGAUUGCGGCGGUGACUGGCCGGAAGAGGAACAGUGACCAGCAAAAAUUGCGGCUGCUACCAGCAGGAAGCUGAGCACACGAGCAGCGGCCAGCGUCGGCAGAGCAGGCUGCAGCCUGCAGGCGACCGCGACGGUUCUUGUGCAUUUUUUUAACCGCGUCGGGCAUAUUUCAACAGAGAGUUAUUAACCUGAAAUGGCAGGCUAUAAUGGACAUGGAGAACAAAAGAGAAGAAGCCAUGUUGAUUGUGUGCCCACUCUGAUUAUAUGUAUAUCCAUUCUCUGUCCAUUCUGUGUGCCCCUUUAUAUUUGAACUUUGAUAAAUCUUUGCACCUACAUCUGUAUAACAACCCAUUGAUAAUUGCUUUCAACCAUAUUCAUACACCUAGCUUCCUUCAGGCAUUUCUUUAUGUACACUACUCUCACAUCUAAGUAUUUUGUUGACGCCGUGCAAUCUAAUGGAUAUUUGCUACGGCAAACAGAUUUAAAAAGCGGAAGCCAUCGAGAAAAUGAAGUGCCAACUAGACCUCCUCAUAAGUUGUUUAAUUGAUUAUCUAAACCUUAUUUACUAAUUCUGGAUAGAUGAGUUAGCUAUAUGAAAUGUGCUUCUAGAUUCUCCAUGUUCCAGUAAUGGCACAAAUUCAUUUAUAUUAUACCUAAUGUGACUUUUUUGUUUGCGAUGAAAACUACAGAGAGAUGAUAGGUAGAACCACCUCUAUUCACCUUUGCACUUUCUUGAAAAGAAGGUAAGAAUAUCUCUUUUGUGAGGAACACUUUCAAAAUUCUCCUUUUUAUGCUACAUAAUUGCAGUGGUCAAUUCACAGCUGAUUGUCCGUAUAAAUGACUUUGUGUCUUAUCCAAAUCAACUUUGAUUAGAAAGAUAUUGUCAGCAUGCCUGCCUAGGAUCUAUCCAUGUUUUGUAUUUUAUUUCAGUCUUUGCUACAAUUAACAAUAGGAAAAGGAAAGGAAAACGCAUGAGAAAAUCUCAUUAUUUUUCCUCAUCUGUUCAUAUUCUUUGAUUAUUUUCUAAAUUAUUUUUUCACUCUGCUACAAUUAAUCGAUAUAUUCUGCUUUUUCUAGCAAUUCAAAUAGUCUUGCUCAAAGAUGUGUCAGACCAUCUGGGAAACACACAUAUCGAGAGACUACACAAAUUAUAUAAGAAAGUUAGGUUCCUAAUGGUAUGCCACCAGGGAGGAAUCAUGGAAGGCUAUGUGUACCUAAACAAGUGCAUAGAACAAUUUAGGGAACUAAAGGAAGGUCUAUCUACCCAUUCAAAUAGUUCGUCUUCUCUGCGUGACCAACCUUCAUGUAGGCAUGGUCGAAUCUCAGGUUCUGCAGGUGAAUCUGUUGACGGUAAUCUAUUCUGUAUUGUGAUACAUCGACGCAACAUAUGCAGUGUAUACUUGCCACAUUACAAUCUUAGAGAACGACUUGCUGCUUUACAGUAGACUUGCCGCUUUCCUAGCAUCUAAAAGGACUUAUUCGGUAUCUUACUCUUUUUUUUUUGCGAGAACGGUAUCUUACUCUUAUGAUCAUAGGGUCCAAUCACUAAGGCGCAUGAUGCUCUGAGACAUAGCAAACCUAAAGAUUUAAGAGGUAAUUCAUUUAUUGAAGCGAUAGUUUGGUGUCCGGACCUGAAGGACAUUCUACAAACAUGCAUAUGUAAUUUUUUUCACCAAGAUGAUGUCUCUUAUCAAAUUCCAUGUUGGUGUUCUCUGGGGACAAUAGUAAUUCAUUUAUUGAAGCGAUAGUUUGGUGUCAGGACCUGAAGGACAUUCUACAAACAUGCAUAUGUAAUUUUUCCGCCAAGAUGAUGUCUCUUACCAAAUUCCAUGUUGGUGUUCUCCAGGGACAAUAUUGAGUCUAAACAUGGUGCAUUUCAGCAAGACAUUGCAUGGGUUGUGCCAUCCUUUCCUUACGCCAGCUUCGGAGCAGCUGGAGAAUGUGGACUCUGCAAUGAAGUUUCCAACGGUUAUCUGUAGUGUCUGGCUGGCCAUUGUGUUUGACCUAAAUUUCAUUGAAAGAAUCAAGGCAUGUAUACAUACUUGCUAAUUUUCUGUUGAUUUUUUUAGCAAUCGGUGGUGGUUUUAUUGCUGUUGUUUCA